Molecule: ribosomal RNA, 849 nt
Filed under: Triticum aestivum (bread wheat)
Lineage: Eukaryota; Viridiplantae; Streptophyta; Magnoliopsida; Poales; Poaceae
Description: partial small subunit ribosomal RNA
Source: RNAcentral
AUGUACGCCUCGCAGUCUCGCUCCAGGAUCAUGCAGCUUAAGAGGCAGCUUACGCACGCCCAGAAAAAGGACAUGAACAUGGCUGAUUAUUUUGGCCAUGUCAAGGGUCUCGCUGACCAGCUUGCUGCGGCCGGCAGCCUCGUCUCCGAGACUGAUGUGAUCGACUACAUGUUCACAGGCCUUGAUAACUCGUACGACGCCCUCGUCACAUCGAUCAAUCUGCUGCUGGCCAACGGUGGCAUCUCUCUCGAUGAAGUGUACUCGCACAUGCUGGAUUACGAGGCGCGUCAAGACAAUGCCAACACCGGCUAUCAGUUGUCAGCCAAUCUUGCGGGACGAGGCAACGGCGCUCGAGGCGGCGGCAACGGUGGAGGUGGCUCCUCUGGCGGCAGCGGUGGCCGCAAUCGCAACAAUGAUGGCCGGAACCAGCAGGGAGGCAACCGUCGCAACGGCGGCAACAGCGGCGACGGCGGUAACUCUGCUGCAGGCAACGGCUCCAAUGGCCAACCAGCCGGCGGUCACCAAGGCGGCUACAACAGGAGGAACUCCAACUCCGAUCGUCCGCGGGUGCCAUGCCAAAUCUGCAACAAGCUCGGCCACUCUGCAAGGACCUGUUAUGAUCGCUACAACCACAACUCCCAGCAGGAGGAUGCACGUUUCGCCAACAACAUCUCUACCGGCUCUCCGGCACUUGACCCAGCGUGGUACAUGGACUCCGGCGCCACCGACCAUAUCACCGGCGACUUAGACAAGCUGCACAUGCGUGAGCAGUACACCGGCAAGGACCAAGUGCAUACAACAAAUGGAACUGGAUCGAGCUUCGAAGAGGGUUCUUCUUCACGGACCUAG